Molecule: ribosomal RNA, 646 nt
Filed under: uncultured Actinomycetes bacterium
Lineage: Bacteria; Bacillati; Actinomycetota; Actinomycetes
Description: bacterial SSU rRNA
Rfam family: Bacterial small subunit ribosomal RNA
Source: RNAcentral
UCGCGGCCUAUCAGCUUGUUGGUGAGGUAACGGCUCACCAAGGCUCAGACGGGUAGCUGGUCUGAGAGGACGAUCAGCCACACUGGGACUGAGACACGGCCCAGACUCCUACGGGAGGCAGCAGCAGGGAAUUUUGCACAAUGAGCGCAAGCUUGAUGCAGCGACGCCGCGUGGGGGAUGAAUGCCUUCGGGUUGUAAACCCCUUUCAGGAGGGACGAAGCGAGAGUGACGGUACCUCCAGAAGAAGCCCCGGCCAACUACGUGCCAGCAGCCGCGGUAAUACGUAGGGGGCGAACGUUGUCCGGAUUUAUUGGGCGUAAAGAGCUCGUAGGCGGCUCAGCAAGUCGGCCGUGAAAACCCGGGGCUCAACCCCGGGACGCCGGUCGAAACUGCUGUGGCUAGGGUCCGGUAGAGGAGAGUGGAAUUCCCGGUGUAGCGGUGGAAUGCGCAGAUAUCGGGAGGAACACCAGUAGCGAAGGCGGCUCUCUGGGCCGGCACCGACGCUGAGGAGCGAAAGCUAGGGGAGCAAACAGGAUUAGAUACCCUGGUAGUCCUAGCCGUAAACGUUGGGUACUAGGUGUGGCGGAGUCAUUGACCUCUGCCGUGCCGAAGCUAACGCAUUAAGUACCCCGCCUGGGGAGUACGG